RNAcentral lists this ribosomal RNA (518 nucleotides) under uncultured bacterium. RNAcentral describes it as "bacterial SSU rRNA". It matches the Rfam family "Bacterial small subunit ribosomal RNA", at positions 8 to 518 of the family's 1533-position model. The record is from RNAcentral.
AGAGUUUGAUUAUGGCUCAGGAUGAACGCUAGCUACAGGCUUAACGCAUGCAAGUCGAGGGGCAGCAUUGGAGUAGCAAUACUUCAGAUGGCGACCGGCGCACGGGUGAGUAACACGUAUCCAACCUGCCGCUUACUCGGGGAUAGCCUUUCGAAAGAAAGAUUAAUACCCGAUGGUAUAAAGAGUUCGCAUGUUCUCUUUAUUAAAGAAUUUCGGUAAGCGAUGGGGAUGCGUUCCAUUAGAUAGUUGGCGGGGUAACGGCCCACCAAGUCUACGAUGGAUAGGGGUUCUGAGAGGAAGGUCCCCCACAUUGGAACUGAGACACGGUCCAAACUCCUACGGGAGGCAGCAGUGAGGAAUAUUGGUCAAUGGACGAGAGUCUGAACCAGCCAAGUAGCGUGAAGGAUGACUGCCCUAUGGGUUGUAAACUUCUUUUAUAAGGGAAUAAAGUGAGGGACGUGUCCCUUUUUGUAUGUACCUUAUGAAUAAGGAUCGGCUAACUCCGUGCCAGCAGCUGC